ACAGUUCUCAGAACAGCUUUGGAGAUGAAACUCCUCUAUUGGCUUAUGAAAUUCCAGCCACAGAAGUCAUGAUAUUCUGAAUAGUGCUGGGAAACCAGGCUGCUCUAGGAUCUCUAGUGACUAACAGGGCCAAGGCCAGCUGCUCCUGAGUAGGAAGAACUCCUUCAGCCGACAAUAGGCGAGUUCCAGGAAGUUCACACCGUCUCUGAAUUAACUUCAUGCACAUGCCAGAUGGUCAUUUUUCCUUUGAAUGUUGCUGGAGGUACAAUUUCACAGACAAAAGCAAACCAAGACCUAAGGCAAGCAUAUGCCUCCAGGAAUAAGUAGUGACUUGUAAUGUCUGCUGUUUGUUAAAGGGUGUAUAGCUCGUGGCCACGCUUCAGACAAGUGUCGAUGUAUUUUCACUAGCUGUGCAGACAUUAAGACCUCUGUUCUGAAGCAGGCUUUGGCUUUGUCACUGUGCCUGUGCCUGUUAUGGUGCCACUGAGCCAAGAUCAUGCUGACCCCACUGCAGUAAACAGCAAAAUUUCCUCUGACUGCACCUGAGAAGGAUGUGCGCCUUCCAUUGUGGAAAGGAAUGAGCUACAGUGCCUAUGGCUGAGGGAAUAAGACCAGCAGUGAUAAGAAUGAAAUAGCAAAGGCUCUGAAGCAGCAUGAAGCAAUGAACAAUCCUCACUUUGAAAACCUUAUAGCGAAGAAGCUUUCCAAUGCUGCUGUCAAAAUUGUCAUUCCCCACCAGAUGCCCUAACUUCCCACUGCUCCCCGCUGGUACUGCUGCCCCUGUUGUCUCUCCAUCCAAAGAGUUUCUGAACAAGAGACAAGCUUUUAUGGAGCCUGGCAAAGCUUCAGAAGGGAAAAGGAAAAAUCGAUACUGCUUCAAAGCAAAGUCUUUGCUUCAGUGAAUAUGACAUUUGCCCUUUCUUCACUAGGGGGAAAAACAACAAGGACACUUACACCGGCAAUGGAAAUAGAAUGAACAACAGAGAGACCUUCCAGGUUUGACAUGUAAAGGGAAAUAACUUUGUAGUUUUUGUCCCUAUUUGGUGACAUCAAAAAACAGGUGUAGAGUGUUAGGCGGUGCAGUCUGAGAAUGAAGUGGAAAGUAACACAAAGUCAAAGAGGAGAGUUGAAGGAAUUUGGAACAAGUGAUAAUGGACUUGGCUGAAAAGAUGGAGAAUGAAAGACACUGCGCAAAGGUGAAGUCCAUUGUUGUACAAUCAAAUUAACUAUUAAAUGUCAGCUGCAAAGGUGGGCCAUAAUAUUAAAAGGACCUUCCAGUAAGUUUUACGCCAUUUUGACAGCUUUACAGCUACUGAAAAUGUCCAUAGAGCCUCACAGUUUGCUAAUGAAUGGCUUCUCUGUAAGGAUGAAGCAGGUCAGAAACUUUGAAAGAGAAGGUGGAAAUACUGAUUAAGGAAAUGGGUGCUUCUGCAAAAUCAAAACAACUCUGAAAAACACAUAUUUUUGGAGGAUUAACAAAGAAUUAAACUAAAUGUAAACCUUAGAAGCCUGCUCCAAUUCUUUUUCAUAGUCAGGUUUUCAUUAAUUUCAUUCUAAAACUGGUUAUAACUCUCUGAUUCCAUUCUAUUUUGACUAUGCCACUCCUUAGCUAGUUUACCAAG
This 1622-nucleotide long non-coding RNA is filed under the name Numida meleagris (helmeted guineafowl). Its description in RNAcentral is "lncRNA (ENSNMEG00000018975.1)". The record is from RNAcentral. Lineage: Eukaryota; Metazoa; Chordata; Aves; Galliformes; Numididae.